Molecule: unclassified non-coding RNA, 251 nt
Filed under: Hevea brasiliensis (rubber tree)
Lineage: Eukaryota; Viridiplantae; Streptophyta; Magnoliopsida; Malpighiales; Euphorbiaceae
Source: RNAcentral
AGCGGCGCUCACAAGUGCCGGAAGCACGCAGAGGGCAAGCAGCAACAAUGAUCUAGCCAUUGGGCUUUUGGGAUCAGAGAAUUACAGAGAAUUGUGCUUAGAUAAAUAAAGAGUGAGAUCAGAGAUGAAGAUUGAAACCGAAUGGAGCGAAGGAAAUAGAAAAUGAUGAAAAGUUAUAAGCAGCAACAGCAAGUAAAGAAGCAUAAGGAAGAAAUGGCAAACGUAAAGCUAAAGAGCGGUGAUAGCGCGCG